Molecule: ribosomal RNA, 207 nt
Filed under: uncultured bacterium
Lineage: Bacteria
Description: partial 16S ribosomal RNA
Rfam family: Bacterial small subunit ribosomal RNA
Source: RNAcentral
UGCGUAGGCGGCGCGGAAAGUUGGGUGUGAAAUCCCUCGGCUCAACCGAGGAACUGCGCCCAAUACUACCGUGCUCGAGGGAGAUAGAGGUGAGCGGAACUUAGGGUGGAGCGGUGAAAUGCGUUGAUAUCCUAAGGAACACCGGUGGCGAAAGCGGCUCACUGGAUCUCUUCUGACGCUGAGGCACGAAAGCUAGGGUAGCGAACG